CAUUUCUGGGUUGUGUUUGUGCUGUAAGCUUUACCGCAGAGCAAAGAGAGAGAAAGUACAGGAGAACCGCUCAGAACACACAGCAACCUCUACCCUACCUCAAGGCGUUGAGUUUUGGACCGACAAGCACUGCUUAUAUUUUCUUAAGAAAAUAUGGAAAUCUAGUUUAUCUUUCAACAGUUAUGAUUCAUCUUAAGCUCCCCUGAUACUCCACUUCCAGACACAGUGACCCACUGCCUUAACCUGUUUUCCAGUAAAACAGUAAUUCCCAUAAGCC
Molecule: long non-coding RNA, 277 nt
Filed under: Sinocyclocheilus anshuiensis
Lineage: Eukaryota; Metazoa; Chordata; Actinopteri; Cypriniformes; Cyprinidae
Description: lncRNA (ENSSANG00000044905.1)
Source: RNAcentral